CUUAUUUUUUUAUCUUUUUUUUUUUUUAAGAAAACUGGUACCAGUUGGUUACCAGAAAAUGACAUGAUCUUCAAGAAAAGAAAAUUUUUCCUGAUGAAUAUAUCCUAUCUCCCCAAUAUCCUUGAAGUAAAAGGAUUGAGAACUAGAUCUUUUAACUCAGAGAAACAUAUGUGCAUGGAGGAUGUUAAUAAAGAGGAUGUCAUUUAAUUGCUGUUUGGGGUUUGUUAUCCUCAUACUCUGCUACCUCCAGGCAUUAAGGUAAUGAUAAUAAACCCAAGAGGAUUAAGCAAUUCCCACCACCCAUCCUCUCCCUGUCAGCCUCCUGAAGCUCCCCCACCCUCCUCCAGGUUAAAUAUACUUCCUGGAAUUAGAAUACCUUGGAAUAAUUUCUUUUUAUUAUGAAAAUUUUCAAACAUACAGAAGAGUAGAGACCUAAAUCUAAUGAGAACCCAUAUACCCAUUACUUUGAUCCAAGAAUUAUCAUUUUGCCAUAUCUGUUUCAUCUUUUUUUCCUUGAAAUAUUUUUAAGUAAAUUAUAGAAGUUAUGACAUCUCACACCAAAAUACUUAUGCAUACGUCAUUAUGGUGGAUCAUUUCUUAAAUGUUAAAGGUUUUGGGUAUCACUCCACUUGCU
Ceratotherium simum simum (southern white rhinoceros) is the source of this 634-nucleotide non-coding RNA. NCBI's taxonomy places the organism in Eukaryota, Metazoa, Chordata, Mammalia, Perissodactyla, Rhinocerotidae. The record is from RefSeq and is a predicted model, not a curated record.